UGCCACUCUGAUGGUGUAUAAAAUCCCAAUGGAAGAUGUGAAGUCACUAGCCAAGUCUUUUGCCCAGUUAGAAAAUGCAAAACAGAACUUUAACUUUGAAGAGUACAACUUCUCCCAGUCAACUCUUGAACAAGUUUUCAUGGAGUUCGCUAAAGAGCAAGAGAACGAAGAAGAGGCGGUCGGAUCAC
This is a long non-coding RNA of Sinocyclocheilus anshuiensis, 188 nucleotides long. RefSeq lists it as uncharacterized. NCBI's taxonomy places the organism in Eukaryota, Metazoa, Chordata, Actinopteri, Cypriniformes, Cyprinidae. The transcript is spliced from 3 exons. The record is from RefSeq and is a predicted model, not a curated record.